UACGUAGGGGGCUAGCGUUGUCCGGAAUCAUUGGGCGUAAAGCGCGUGUAGGCGGUCCGGUAAGUCCGCUGUGAAAGUCGGGGGCUCAACCCUCGAAAGCCGGUGGAAACUGUCGGGCUAGAGUGCGGAAGAGGCGAGUGGAAUUCCUGGUGUAGCGGUGAAAUGCGCAGAUAUCAUCAGGAAUACCGGAGGCGAAGGCGGCUCACUGGGUCUCUUCUGACGCUGAGGAACGAAAGCUAGGGGAGCAAACGGG
RNAcentral lists this ribosomal RNA (253 nucleotides) under uncultured bacterium. RNAcentral describes it as "partial 16S ribosomal RNA". It matches the Rfam family "Bacterial small subunit ribosomal RNA", at positions 524 to 776 of the family's 1533-position model. The record is from RNAcentral.